UCCUUACGGUUGCCAUGGUAACCCGCCAAAACCGUCAGCAGAGGCGGCGGGGUUACGUUACCUUCAGGGGAACAGCAGGGGCAGAAGGAGAGAGGUCUUCGGCGUGGCAUCCCCACAAAGGGCUCAACUUCCACAAGACAGAGGGGGGGGGAGAGCAUGAGGGAGUGACGUAGACGGCGCAUGGGUGGGCGAGAGAGAGAGAGCGGUGGAGAUAAUGUGGGAGAAACGUAACAGAGAGAGAGAAAGAGCAGAGGACACAGAGCGUGGGUGGAGAGGGGGCGAGGUGGGGAAAGAGGGGUGUGAUGAGGGAGAAAGAAAAUUGAGGAGAAAAUCAAAAGAGGGCAGGAGCACUGUGAUAGGGAGAAGACAAAUCACCUAGAGAGAGGAGGUGGGAGAGAUCAGCUGUGUGGUGUGAGGGAUGAAAAAAGGGAUAAAAAUAGGAAACGGAAACAAGAGAAGACAGAAAAACUUGGAGGGGAAAUAAUCCCUCUGUUUGAUCUUUCAUCUGUGGUUCCUCAGAUAAUCUUCAGUUAGGCAUCAGCACCCUGUGACGGUUAUGAAAUGGGACUAGCCUACACAUAUGGCCAGUGUUCAUCACAGCACACAUAAUGAUUUAAUCCCAUUAUUAAAGUCAUUACUGAUCAUCACGAGAUCCAUCUCCUUCACAGACACAGAUAAUUGCUUCUGCUUUAAAGAUAUUUCACCCUCUCCUUGGAAACACUACUUGAAUGUUUAGACCGCCUGGCUCAAUUUGUUGCCAGCGUGGUGACUUUUGAAGUGUAGCUACUAUUGAAGUGCAAAUUAGGACAGUUUCUAAUAUGGACCUAUUAAACUAAAAUUCUCACAAAAGGUAGAUCACAGCUAGUGUGUGCUACCCCAAAAUUAAGGCUGCAGAAUAAGUGCAAAGGGAGUGUAUGUACAGAUAACUGGGGGAAACAGAUAUUUGAUAUUGACACAGACAUAUGGGCCAUUACAUGACACAUAUGGGAGGCAGACAAAGUGUUCUCAGGCUGGUGGGUAAAGGAGCCAGGAGAGUGAGAAUUACUACAAGGGACUAUCACAGAGAGAAAUAUAAAAAUCUGUGGGGGAAAAACUGCAGUUUAGAAAAUCUAUUUUGGACAGAUUGGAGUCCUAAUAAAAUUUUUAUGGCUCCGCCAAAUCAUGCAAAUAUAGCUGUGAAAUGCAUCGUUGGAACUUUACGCUCAGUAAAUCCUUAAUUGUAUAAUCAUUAAAGUAGAAGAUUAAAAUUAUAAGGAAAAUAAUAUAACUUAUCAGCUUCAGACGUAUUGAUCCUGGCUUUAGUUUUGGUGCCCCCUGCAGGACUCAAAUAUAACCACGCUGACAGAGCAGCUGUGCACCUUACAGUCAAAAUACAACAAUUUCCCAUCACACCAUCAAACAUAGUACAGUAAGACAAAAAGGAAUUCAGACACCAUUUCCAGUCACAAAGAUUCAAAGUGAGACACCAACUGUUUUAGCAUUCACACACUGCAUGGAAGGAGCUGAAGAAACGUCACGUCUCCGUGUAAGUACCCUGGUCAACCAGCUGAGUUAGAGGUAUAUUCAUCUUUACGAGAAAACUCCACGCAAUCUCCUGUCUGAUGAUUGACAACAACCAGCAGGACAAAACCAACAGAGAAGCGCAGGCCUUGCUCAAAUAUGUGUAAAUGCACCUGUAUUCCUCAAUCCUGCUGCGGGAUUUCACUAACACUGAAAAACUAUAAAGCCUGCUGAUUCCCAGCAGGCCUGACGAGGAAUAGAUGCAUUCUACUCAUAUUCAGAAAGGCCACAGUCUACAGGAUAACAACAGAUACCACGAGACGUCUCACCCAGACACGGCCGACACGGUUACUAUUGGUCAAUCACAGCUUAGACACAGCAGCUACGGGUCAGUGGUUGCAACAUUGCCUAUUAGCACACACUACACACACACACACAAACUUGGGGAGUUAUGCAACUGAGCAGGUAUGAGAAAGUCAGGGGAGCCAUUGCUGGGACUACAGGACAGGGCUACAGCAGCGCAGAGCUCCGAGGGGAAGCUAAGAGCCAUGCCAGCAGUUUAGCAUGAGUUAGUCCAGGCUUUCUCCACAGCUACGCCCCUUUCCUCCAGCUGCCUCUGCUUUUCCUCCACCUGCUCCAACUGUCUCUGGAUGAUCUGAACAAACAAGCAGGUUUCUGAGGGACGUGGCUGCAGAGGUUACCUCUAACACUCAACUGAUGCAACAGUUUACCCUCAUUAAAAAUAAAUGGCUGGAGGCACAGCGGGAGCACCGCUAAUUGGAAGUGUAUUGAUGUCUACAAGUACGUGAGGCUGUUCUGACAGGCAAAUAUUAUUUCAUGAAUUUUAACAAAAACUAUUAAUAUUUCAUAGUUCUCAGCUUUUUGGCCAUCGCCACACUCUCACUGGUUAUUGGCAGUGAAGGGGGGGGAAUUAUAGAGGGGAUGCAGCCUCUUAGGAUGUCUGAGAGGAGC
Molecule: long non-coding RNA, 2472 nt
Organism: Epinephelus lanceolatus (giant grouper)
Lineage: Eukaryota; Metazoa; Chordata; Actinopteri; Perciformes; Serranidae
Source: RefSeq, a predicted model, not a curated record